CUCCGAGCGCCGCGGCGCGCCGCACAUCGCCGCGUCGAGCCAUGAGCGACAAGAUCGUCGAGGCGCAGAAGGUGCGACGGACGACGCGCGCGCUUCGCGACGCGCGAAAACGGCGCGACGCGCCAUCGCGACGUCGGAUAAAGCGUCAACGAUUCGAUCGCGACGCGCUAGGGCUCGACCGCGAGCGACGACGCGCGCGCGGACGACGCGCGCGCGACGCGGACGACGACGCACCUCGAGGCGCGCUAGCGCUCGACCGAACGACUGACGAGACGCGCGCGCGGCGUCGCGGCGCCGCUCGACAGUUUUUUCAAUCCCGAAAGGGAUUCGUGCACCUGAAGCGAGGCGGCGUCGAUCGCGUCACGAGCGUGUUGAUACCCGUCGGCGCGGUGUGCGUCAUGAGCGCGAUGCUCGCGAAAGGUGCGCGAAACGUCAAAGCGCGGCCCGUCGACGCGCGUCGACGGCGCGACGGAAGCGCUUCCGUCGGUGGUUUCGAAGACGCGACGGAUGGGCGAGCGGGACGGGACGGCGAGACUGACGACGACGGAUCGACGCGCGAUCGAUCGCAGGCGUGAUGGAUCUCACCACGGGGCGAAAUAAGAAGGAAGGGUUCUGAUCGCGAUCGACGCGAACGAUCGAGGGCGUCGAGCGACGCGUUGUAAUUACAAUCGACUAGCGUAACCGAACGGCGCGACGGACGACGACACACCUCGACGCGACGCGACGUCGAUGCCGUCCGACGUCGUCGCGCGC
Molecule: long non-coding RNA, 753 nt
Filed under: Ostreococcus sp. 'lucimarinus'
Lineage: Eukaryota; Viridiplantae; Chlorophyta; Mamiellophyceae; Mamiellales; Bathycoccaceae
Description: long non-coding RNA (OLUC_LNC000018)
Source: RNAcentral